GCGGGAGUGGUGGAAUUGGUAGACACGCAGGAUUUAGGUUCCUGUGCCUUCGGGCGUGUGGGUUCAAGUCCCAUCUUCCGCA
This 82-nucleotide transfer RNA is filed under the name Microbacterium sp. RNAcentral's name for it is "tRNA-Leu". It matches the Rfam family "tRNA". From Rfam's summary of the family: Transfer RNA (tRNA) molecules are approximately 80 nucleotides in length. The record is from RNAcentral. Lineage: Bacteria; Bacillati; Actinomycetota; Actinomycetes; Micrococcales; Microbacteriaceae.